This 251-nucleotide unclassified non-coding RNA is filed under the name uncultured Pleosporales. RNAcentral's name for it is "sequence contains 5.8S rRNA gene, ITS2, 28S rRNA gene". The record is from RNAcentral. Lineage: Eukaryota; Fungi; Ascomycota; Dothideomycetes; Pleosporales.
AACGCACAUUGCGCCCCUUGGUAUUCCAUGGGGCAUGCCUGUUCGAGCGUCAUUUGUACCUUCAAGCUCUGCUUGGUGUUGGGUGUUUGUUGGGUCCUCUGCGACCCGACUCGCCUUAAAUGUAUUGGCAGCCGGCGUAUUGGCUUAUGAGCGCAGCACAUCUUGCGAUUGUAGCCGCUAUUCUGGCGUCCAACAAGCCUACAACCAUCACUUUUGACCUCGGAUCAGGUAGGGAUACCCGCUGAACUUAA